UGACCUCGAAUCAGAUG
Molecule: ribosomal RNA, 17 nt
Filed under: Craterellus olivaceoluteus
Lineage: Eukaryota; Fungi; Basidiomycota; Agaricomycetes; Cantharellales; Hydnaceae
Description: partial 25S ribosomal RNA
Source: RNAcentral